This 77-nucleotide transfer RNA is filed under the name Olavius algarvensis Gamma 3 endosymbiont. It matches the Rfam family "tRNA". Rfam says of the family: Transfer RNA (tRNA) molecules are approximately 80 nucleotides in length. Their secondary structure includes four short double-helical elements and three loops (D, anti-codon, and T loops). The record is from RNAcentral. RNAcentral also lists the same sequence under 15 other names. Lineage: Bacteria; Pseudomonadati; Pseudomonadota; Gammaproteobacteria.
AGUCGCGUAGCUCAGUUGGUUAGAGCACCACCUUGACAUGGUGGGGGUCGGUGGUUCGAAUCCACUCGCGACUACCA